RNAcentral lists this long non-coding RNA (459 nucleotides) under Sus scrofa (pig). RNAcentral describes it as "lncRNA (ENSSSCG00025009483.1)". Lineage: Eukaryota; Metazoa; Chordata; Mammalia; Artiodactyla; Suidae. The record is from RNAcentral.
UUUUCCGUGGGCGACCCUAGGGCGGAAACUUGGGUUUCAAAUGCGAAACAUUUGUCUCCUGGAAUCACAUCUGGCUUCCAAUGUAUGUUAAGACUUUUCUUAACCGAAAAAGUCAGCGCCUGAAGGACACCCAAGGCUCAAGGCCUUCUGCCCCUCAGCUGUAUCUGCCGCAAAUAGGAAUCAGCCACCUCAAAUUUAUCCUAUUUUACCAUGCGUACUGCUUGUGGGAAGAGAUUAAUUAUUUUGCCUCCUGCCAAGACAAAGUCCUUUAGUGAAAGUGUGGGUCAAAAGGCCUCAUCAUGACCCUGUAGACUCAAGAUAAUGCUUAAACUCUCUAAGGUACGUCAUUUGCUAAUAUGUAUAAAGUCAUUUAACUUAGAAAUAUUACAGUUGGUCUUAGACAAAGGCAUAGAGAAUGAUAUGCAAAAAGAGCUGAAUAAAAGCACAUUGAUUCUGACA